Molecule: ribosomal RNA, 465 nt
Filed under: Vreelandella stevensii
Lineage: Bacteria; Pseudomonadati; Pseudomonadota; Gammaproteobacteria; Oceanospirillales; Halomonadaceae
Description: partial 16S ribosomal RNA
Rfam family: Bacterial small subunit ribosomal RNA
Source: RNAcentral
CCUACGGGGGGCAGCAGUGGGGAAUAUUGGACAAUGGGGGGAACCCUGAUCCAGCCAUGCCGCGUGUGUGAAGAAGGCCCUCGGGUUGUAAAGCACUUUCAGUGAGGAAGAACGCCUGGUGGUUAAUACCCAUCAGGAAAGACAUCACUCACAGAAGAAGCACCGGCUAACUCCGUGCCAGCAGCCGCGGUAAUACGGAGGGUGCGAGCGUUAAUCGGAAUUACUGGGCGUAAAGCGCGCGUAGGUGGCUUGAUAAGCCGGUUGUGAAAGCCCCGGGCUCAACCUGGGAACGGCAUCCGGAACUGUCAAGCUAGAGUGCAGGAGAGGAAGGUAGAAUUCCCGGUGUAGCGGUGAAAUGCGUAGAGAUCGGGAGGAAUACCAGUGGCGAAGGCGGCCAUCUGGACUGACACUGACACUGAGGUGCGAAAGCGUGGGUAGCAAACAGGAUUAGAUACCCGAGUAGUC